AGGUUACUAAUGGCUCUUACUGAAGACUAGCAGUUUUACCGUAGCUGUUGGUUUCAAGCAGAGGCCUAAAGAACUAUCUUCCUGUGGUUUAUCAGCUA
Molecule: microRNA precursor, 98 nt
Organism: Cricetulus griseus (Chinese hamster)
Lineage: Eukaryota; Metazoa; Chordata; Mammalia; Rodentia; Cricetidae
Source: Ensembl